GGGAGUAAUAUUUAUGGAGGGAGUUAUUAAGGAUACUACAGCAGCAACCGCAGCAACAUCAGAUAACACAUCACCAUCAUCAACAUUAGUCUCAUGUGCAACACAUUACUCACCACACCCACGUGACACUAAAAGUCUGAAACUGUCCAUGAUAAAAUGCCUCAGCUUUGUGACUGCAGCAACAAAGAAGGAAAGGACAUAUGAUAGUAGUGUAACAUCUAGUCCUUGUGAUGGAGCAGAGAAAUACUGGAAUAGUGCUGAUCACUUGAUAGUGACAACUAGCUAACUUAUAUACUAUAGUUAGAUUAGAAUUAAU
This 316-nucleotide long non-coding RNA is filed under the name Panax ginseng (ginseng). RNAcentral describes it as "long non-coding RNA (PGIN_LNC016155)". The record is from RNAcentral. Lineage: Eukaryota; Viridiplantae; Streptophyta; Magnoliopsida; Apiales; Araliaceae.